This is a non-coding RNA of Chiloscyllium plagiosum (whitespotted bambooshark), 244 nucleotides long. NCBI's taxonomy places the organism in Eukaryota, Metazoa, Chordata, Chondrichthyes, Orectolobiformes, Hemiscylliidae. The record is from RefSeq and is a predicted model, not a curated record.
AUUUGAAGCAAGAAAAUGGAAGUAGCAUGGAAAAUGGAGGACUUGAGUCUGGACAGAAAAUACUAAGAUAUAUCAGGGAAUCACUGGCAAGAUGAGGAGAUCAGUAACUAUGGGUCGCAAUGGCAUGAUCUCAACUCCUUUAUUCCUUACAGCUGCUUCAGGAAGACCACGAGAACCAAUAGGACCUGGAGGACCAGCAGGGCCAGACUCGCCCUAAUAUCAGAAAAAUCAAUGGAUAAUUAAA